CCUGCGAUAGGAGUGUGUGCAGCAGGAGCCUGUCCCUGUUGGAUGAGCCCUGUCUGGGCCAGCUUGAGCACCUUCAGCUCGGCUGGAUAAGGAGGCCAAAACCUGAAGCCUCAGAGACCAGGAGUAAAGUGUUCCCUGGACAAAGCUAG
Long non-coding RNA from Bufo bufo (common toad), 149 nucleotides. RefSeq lists it as uncharacterized. NCBI's taxonomy places the organism in Eukaryota, Metazoa, Chordata, Amphibia, Anura, Bufonidae. The record is from RefSeq and is a predicted model, not a curated record. The transcript is spliced from 3 exons.